This 497-nucleotide ribosomal RNA is filed under the name uncultured bacterium. Its description in RNAcentral is "partial 16S ribosomal RNA". It matches the Rfam family "Bacterial small subunit ribosomal RNA", at positions 28 to 507 of the family's 1533-position model. The record is from RNAcentral.
GAUGAACGCUGGCGGCGUGCCUAAUACAUGCAAGUCGAGCGAACAGACGAGGAGCUUGCUCCUCUGACGUUAGCGGCGGACGGGUGAGUAACACGUGGAUAACCUACCUAUAAGACUGGGAUAACUUCGGGAAACCGGAGCUAAUACCGGAUAACAUGUUGAACCGCAUGGUUCAACAGUGAAAGACGGUCUUGCUGUCACUUAUAGAUGGAUCUGCGCCGCAUUAGCUAGUUGGUAAGGUAAAGGCUUACCAAGGCAACGAUGCGUAGCCGACCUGAGAGGGUGAUCGGCCACACUGGAACUGAGACACGGUCCAGACUCCUACGGGAGGCAGCAGUAGGGAAUCUUCCGCAAUGGGCGAAAGCCUGACGGAGCAACGCCGCGUGAGUGAAGAAGGUCUUCGGAUCGUAAAACUCUGUUAUUAGGGAAGAACAAAUGUGUAAGUAACUAUGCACGUCUUGACGGUACCUAAUCAGAAAGCCACGGCUAACUACGUG